Molecule: small nucleolar RNA, 101 nt
Organism: Macaca fascicularis (crab-eating macaque)
Lineage: Eukaryota; Metazoa; Chordata; Mammalia; Primates; Cercopithecidae
Source: Ensembl
AUCCUUUUGUAGUUCAUUAGCAUGAUGAUUGGGUUUUCAUGCUCAUGUGUGAGAUGUGCCACCCUCAGACCUUAUUACAUCGCCACAUUACCCAUCUGAUG